Molecule: ribosomal RNA, 497 nt
Filed under: uncultured bacterium
Lineage: Bacteria
Description: partial 16S ribosomal RNA
Rfam family: Bacterial small subunit ribosomal RNA
Source: RNAcentral
GACGAACGCUGGCGGCGUGCCUAAUACAUGCAAGUUGAGCGCUGAAGGUUGGUACUUGUACCAACUGGAUGAGCAGCGAACGGGUGAGUAACGCGUGGGGAAUCUGCCUUUGAGCGGGGGACAACAUUUGGAAACGAAUGCUAAUACCGCAUAAAAACUUUAAACACAAGUUUUAAGUUUGAAAGAUGCAAUCGCAUCACUCAAAGAUGAUCCCGCGUUGUAUUAGCUAGUUGGUGAGGUAAAGGCUCACCAAGGCGAUGAUACAUAGCCGACCUGAGAGGGUGAUCGGCCACAUUGGGACUGAGACACGGCCCAAACUCCUACGGGAGGCAGCAGUAGGGAAUCUUCGGCAAUGGACGAAAGUCUGACCGAGCAACGCCGCGUGAGUGAAGAAGGUUUUCGGAUCGUAAAACUCUGUUGGUAGAGAAGAACGUUUGUGAGAGUGGAAAGCUCAUCAAGUGACGGUAACUACCCAGAAAGGGACGGCUAACUACGUG